UUGUUUCUGCUUUAAAUGAGAAUUAAAUAAAAAAGCGUUCGACAGUAGAAAAGUUGCACUCCAAGUAGAAAGAUGUUUAAGACGUUGGGAAUAUUUUUAUUGCUGCUUAUUGCACAAAUCAACGCCACAUGUUUUAUUGAUGCAGCGUAUGAUCAAUCAACUAAUCGGAUUUUUGCAACAGUCUCUAGGAAUCGAAUUGAAUUACUGCGCAAAAAUGUAGUGCCAAAUGGAACCAAACUGAGAGUCUUGUGCAGUGCAACAAAUUAUGUUGAUAGCACUUGCCGAAAUGACCAAUUUAAUCCUGCACUGCCAACAACCAAUUGCAGUCCAAAACCAGAUCCAAAGCAUGAGGCUGUGCAAGAUGCUAGCUGUCCGGCCCCUGCAAUCAUGUAUCGAAUGGGCUAUAGAUUGGGUCCGAAUCAUUUUCUGGAGAUAUAUAGAAGUUGCUACGAUGUCACAUCACAAAGGUCGCUGUUUUCGAUACACGAAAUUGACAGCGACACAAAGAAUCCACCUCGCACUGGUUGUUGGCGUGUUACAGAUGAUGUUGUCAUCGCUCCAUCAUUCCAGGCCAAAACAUUUAUAAGCGAUUCAACGAAAUGUUUAAUAAUCAACAGACUUACAUCACGAGUCCUGGACGGCCGUAUAAAUUAAACCGCGGCCUUUUGACGCCCUCGGCUGACUUUGGUUUCUGCGAUCAAAUGAGAGCAACAUUCAGGUACAUCAAUGUGGUGGCUCAAUUCGCCGAUGUGAACGACAGCAAUUGGUCGAGAGUUGAGAACUGGGUGCGUCGCAUGCGAGAUCUUUAUGGAAAAAUGACUGUUUGCACGGGAGGAAUUGGAGUGCUGGAGCUCGAUGACGUCGCUGGAAAACCGAAAGAUAUUUAUCUGGUGAGGGGCAAUCGCAAUCCGGUACCCGAAUGGACUUACAAGAUUAUUCGAUCCCACUCAAAUCGAAAUGUGCAUUACGCUGUUAUCACCUAUAAUCAUGCCGAGAAUCCAGUUCAACCCGCUUCCUUAUGCACACCGUUGUCAUGUGUUAGUCUGGGCUUGCAAGUGAGUCAGUCCCGAAUUCUGGAUAUACAUACUGCUGCGAUGCAAAUGAUUUUAUUAUCAGAAAUGUGAAAAAUUUGCAGAAUGUUUGUUAAAGAAUUUUUCUGAAACUUAACUUGAAAUUAGUAAAAUAUAGUUGGUGUUGGUUGGUGGUGUAUAUUUAAAUUUCUACCUAUUAUAACAUUAUUAAAGCAAAUCAAAUAUUAACAAUGAUAUCGUCAAUUUUAUAAAAGAUGAUCAGAAAGUGUAAUACUGAGAUUGUAAAAAUAAGAUGGUAAGGUCUUCUUCAGGACUAAGUAUACUACAUCUAAAUCUGGAUCUACAAAUAAAUAACGUGAAAUUACCUGCGUAUGUCAGGUAUGUGAAA
This is an RNA transcript of Drosophila sulfurigaster albostrigata, 1419 nucleotides long. RefSeq lists it as uncharacterized. The record is from RefSeq and is a predicted model, not a curated record. NCBI's taxonomy places the organism in Eukaryota, Metazoa, Arthropoda, Insecta, Diptera, Drosophilidae. The transcript has 4 exons.